CAUUGGGCAGGCUUACCAUGCAAGUCGAGGGGUAGGGCUCUUCGGUGUUUGAGACCGGCGCACGGGUGCGUAACGCGUAUGCAAUCUGCCUUUCACAGAGGGAUAGCCCAGAGAAAUUUGGAUUAAUACCUCAUAGUAUUACCACUCGGCAUCGAGAUGUAAUUAAAGUCACAACGGUGAAAGAUGAGCAUGCGUCCCAUUAGCUAGUUGGUAAGGUAACGGCUUACCAAGGCGACGAUGGGUAGGGGUCCUGAGAGGGAGAUCCCCCACACUGGUACUGAGACACGGACCAGACUCCUACGGGAGGCAGCAGUGAGGAAUAUUGGUCAAUGGGCGCAAGCCUGAACCAGCCAUGCCGCGUGCAGGAUGACGGUCCUAUGGAUUGUAAACUGCUUUUGUACGGGAAGAAACACUCCGACGUGUCGGAGCUUGACGGUACCGUAAGAAUAAGGAUCGGCUAACUCCGUGCCAGCAGCCGCGGUAAUACGGAGGAUCCAAGCGUUAUCCGGAAUCAUUGGGUUUAAAGGGUCCGUAGGCGGUCUUGUAAGUCAGUGGUGAAAGCCCAUCGCUCAACGGUGGAACGGCCAUUGAUACUGCAGGACUUGAAUUAUUGGGAAGUAACUAGAAUAUGUAGUGUAGCGGUGAAAUGCUUAGAGAUUACAUGGAAUACCAAUUGCGAAGGCAGGUUACUACCAAUGGAUUGACGCUGAUGGACGAAAGCGUGGGUAGCGAACAGGAUUAGAUACCCUGGUAGUCCACGCCGUAAACGAUGGAUACUAGCUGUUGGGGGCAACUUCAGUGGCUAAGCGAAAGUGAUAAGUAUCCCACCUGGGGAGUACGAACGCAAGUUUGAACUCAAAGGAAUUGACGGGGGCCCGCACAAGCGGUGGAGCAUGUGGUUAAUUCCAUGAUACGCGAGGAAACCUUAUCAAAGGCUUAAUGCAGACUGAACCAUUUGGAAAACAGAUCUUUCGCAAGACAGUUUACAAGGUGCUGCAUGGUUGCCGUCAGCUCGUGCCCUGAGGUG
Molecule: ribosomal RNA, 1027 nt
Filed under: bacterium
Lineage: Bacteria
Description: bacterial SSU rRNA
Rfam family: Bacterial small subunit ribosomal RNA
Source: RNAcentral